AACGAACGCUGGCGGCAUGCCUAACACAUGCAAGUCGAACGAGACCUUCGGGUCUAGUGGCGCACGGGUGCGUAACGCGUGGGAACCUGCCCUUAGGUUCGGAAUAACUCCCCGAAAGAGGUGCUAAUACCGGAGAAUGUCUUCGGACCAAAGAUUUAUCGCCUUUGGAUGGGCCCGCGUUGGAUUAGCUAGUUGGUAGGGUAAAAGCCUACCAAGGCGACGAUCCAUAGCUGGUCUGAGAGGAUGAUCAGCCACACUGGGACUGAGACACGGCCCAGACGCCUACGGGAGGCAGCAGUGGGGAAUAUUGGACAAUGGGCGAAAGCCUGAUCCAGCAAUGCCGCGUGAGUGAUGAAGGCCUUAGGGUUGUAAAGCUCUUUUACCCGGGAUGAUAAUGACAGUACCGGGAGAAUAAGCGCCGGCUAACUCCGUG
Molecule: ribosomal RNA, 433 nt
Filed under: uncultured bacterium
Lineage: Bacteria
Description: partial 16S ribosomal RNA
Rfam family: Bacterial small subunit ribosomal RNA
Source: RNAcentral